GACGAACCGAGCGAACGUUGUUCGGAAUAACUGGGCUUAAAGGGCGCGUAGGCGGGCUGUCAAGUCUGGGGUGAAAUCCCGCGGCUCAACCGCGGAACUGCCUCAGAUACUGACGGCCUCGAGGGAGAUAGGGGCGAGCGGAACGAAUGGUGGAGCGGUGAAAUGCGUUGAUAUCAUUCGGAACUCCGGUGGCGAAGGCGGCUCGCUGGAUCUCUUCUGACGCUGAGGCGCGAAAGCUAGGGGAGCAAACGGG
RNAcentral lists this ribosomal RNA (253 nucleotides) under uncultured bacterium. RNAcentral describes it as "partial 16S ribosomal RNA". It matches the Rfam family "Bacterial small subunit ribosomal RNA", at positions 524 to 776 of the family's 1533-position model. The record is from RNAcentral.